RNAcentral lists this ribosomal RNA (385 nucleotides) under uncultured bacterium. Its description in RNAcentral is "bacterial SSU rRNA". It matches the Rfam family "Bacterial small subunit ribosomal RNA", at positions 29 to 406 of the family's 1533-position model. The record is from RNAcentral.
AUUGAACGCUGGCGGCAUGCCUUACACAUGCAAGUCGAACGGCAGCACGGGGGCAACCCUGGUGGCGAGUGGCGAACGGGUGAGUAAUGCAUCGGAACGUGUCCUCUUGUGGGGGAUAACCAGUCGAAAGAUUGGCUAAUACCGCAUGAGAUCGAGAGAUGAAAGCGGGGGACCCGAGGGCAACUUCGGGCCUCGCGCGAGAGGAGCGGCCGAUGCCGGAUUAGCCAGUUGGUGGGGUAAAAGCCUACCAAGGCGACGAUCCGUAGCUGGUCUGAGAGGACGACCAGCCACACUGGGACUGAGACACGGCCCAGACUCCUACGGGAGGCAGCAGUGGGAAUUUUGGACAAUGGGCGCAAGCCUGAUCCAGCCAUGCCGCGUGUGU